This 301-nucleotide ribosomal RNA is filed under the name uncultured bacterium. RNAcentral describes it as "partial 16S ribosomal RNA". It matches the Rfam family "Bacterial small subunit ribosomal RNA", at positions 509 to 807 of the family's 1533-position model. The record is from RNAcentral.
CAGUAGCCGCGGGAAUACGUAGGGUGCGAGCGUUAAUCGGAAUUACUGGGCGUAAAGCGUGCGCAGGCGGUUUUGUAAGACAGAGGUGAAAUCCCCGGGCUCAACCUGGGAACUGCCUUUGUGACUGCAAGGCUAGAGUACGGCAGAGGGGGAUGGAAUUCCGCGUGUAGCAGUGAAAUGCGUAGAUAUGCGGAGGAACACCGAUGGCGAAGGCAAUCCCCUGGGCCUGUACUGACGCUCAUGCACGAAAGCGUGGGGAGCAAAAAGGAUUAGAUACCCCCGUAGUCCCUGUCUCUUAUAC